Molecule: ribosomal RNA, 200 nt
Filed under: uncultured bacterium
Lineage: Bacteria
Description: partial 16S ribosomal RNA
Rfam family: Bacterial small subunit ribosomal RNA
Source: RNAcentral
AGAGUUUGAUCAUGGCUCAGGACGAACGCUGGCGGCGUGCCUAAUACAUGCAAGUCGAGCGGACUUGAUGGAGUGCUUGCACUCCUGAUAGUUAGCGGCGGACGGGUGAGUAACACGUGGGCAACCUGCCUGCAAGCCUGGGAUAACAUUCGGAAACGGAUGCUAAUACCGGAUACGCAAUUUGGUCGCAUGACUGAAUU